ACCAGAAAAAGUACAGGAGAAGGAGAAGGAGAAGAAUAAAAGCAGCUCCUCGACUCUGAACACUUUGUCUGGUUUGGUUGCAGGUUGCUGCUGUAUCUCCCUGCAGCAGAAGAGGUUUAUUUAAACCAGGUUUAGCAGCAGAGCUCGUUAGAGAGGGUAGUUUAGUUGGUUAGUUGUUCAGCUGAAGGUUACUCGCUGUGACUGAGAUGUUACUGAGUCUGCGCUCAGGUUAGACUGAAAGCACGAGCUCACUGGCUGUGUUCACAUGCGCCUCCAAUUCCGAGUAAAGUCUAUACUCGAGUUUCAGCCAUAUUCCGAAUGCGAUGUUUAUAUGUGUACAGGCAUCGGAAUAUUCCUGUAUACAUGGUUGUUGCUGUCAGAAAACGACGAUGGCGUGUGGAAGGACUGCAGCUUUUCUGGGCCUUGAAAUCCACAACUUAAAUACAAGAGCCAUUCCAGAAGUGACGUAAAAGCAAACCGUCACACACACAGUGCCAUGCUGAUGAACUGAAAGCGGUGGCGGUGGUGGGUAUGGCAUUGGACUACUGAUCAGAAGGUUGUGAGUUUGAAUCCCAGCAUCGCCACACUUCCACCCCCGCCUUGGCUGUGUGUCCGUCCCACCCCCCAAACCAAACGCCUCGACUGUAAGUCACUCUGGAGAAAAUGCAUCAGCCAAUCUGGAUAAAUGUAAAUGAAUUGUUAGUGACACUGGGAAGACUUUCAGUAAAGCUCUGGAAGUGUGUGUGGAACGAGAAGGCAAUACACUUCACAUUUUGCUUAAUAUUACCACAUUUAAGAUGUUUUUGAAUGAUGUCAUGACUUACUAACAUGACUUUGCUUUAUUUCAAAAGGAAUUCAGAUUGGUUUGAAAAUAACACAGCUGACUUGUGUGUUUUCUGCAGUUUUAUUGUCCAGGUGUUGUGAUGCAGCAGUACAUGACCAUGGAUUGGCCAGCUGUGCAAGCAUGUCUUCCACUUAGCCGUUGUUACUCCACCAGCAAACAAUUUUUGAAGAGGUUUUCAUGCUGAACAGGUUGGAUAUUAAGAAUUGUGUAUUUUUUUAAAUCCAUUUUUUGAUUACCAGUUUGCAAAACUAGAGAGCUAGUGGCUACAUUUUUGGUGCGACCUUCCUCCUCCUCCAUGUUUUUCAGUUACAGUGCUUUCUCCUAGCAGACUGCUCAGAUGGAUAACGGUACUGUUGGCUUUGGACUGAUUUAAGACUUUUGCUACAUAGCAAUAAGAAAUUUUUAAUGUUUUUGUCUUUUUUUUUUUUUUUUUUUUAAACAUUAAUCCUCACCACAUUGGACUUAACAUUAUCUCUGUAUAACCAUAACAAAAUGAGCUAUUUGAUUGAUCCAGUGCUAAAAUCUCUCAAUUCCCAUUACAUGAUGUAAAAAGUUGGUCAGAAGAAGCAGCCUGCUUUAGAGCCUACAUGGUCAAUUUGGUUUAAACAUAGUGGCAGAAAACAUUGAAUUUUUUUUUAUUAUUAUUAUUUUAAAUGUCAUUUUCCCAUCUGAUAUUAAGGUUGGUUUGAAAGUGAUAUUAUCCUGCUUUAUUUGUAAUGGAUUACUGCAAUUAUUUGCUGAAUAAAAAUUUUCAAAAUGCAAAUAACUGGUCUCAUUUCAAUUUGAAACAGUAGUUUGGAGUAAUGCAUUCACUACAAAGUACAUCUAACAGCAGAUGCUAUUCCACAGGAUUAUUAUACUGACAUUAGAUACAAUUGAGUUGACAGCACAUUAUGGUAAGUGUCAAGCUCAUUAGCUAUUCAUAGCAUCAGUCAAAAUAAUGGGUUGUGUGUUUAAUGCCCUUAAUUGCACUAAUACUGUAUGUUUCAAAUAGCUAUUAGUGCCCUAAUCCAGCUGCUGUGACGCAAAUGAGCACGCUCACAGAUGUAUAAAUAGGCUAGAAAGGAUGAUGCACUGACUGACAGAGUAGCUUUUGUUUUGGCACUGCUAAAAUACUUCAGAAGAAGAAAAGACUGUGAAUGAAUGUUUUGUCCAUGAUUAGAACUGGCUAAUAAACCAAAUCAGGUUUCCAAAUGCGUCUUGGAACAAUGUCCUGAGUUGAGCCAAGUUAAAGAGGGUUGAGUUGUGAUGAAAUACAAGUAACAU
Molecule: long non-coding RNA, 2110 nt
Organism: Pangasianodon hypophthalmus (striped catfish)
Lineage: Eukaryota; Metazoa; Chordata; Actinopteri; Siluriformes; Pangasiidae
Exons: 3
Source: RefSeq, a predicted model, not a curated record